AAGUAUGGAACCAAGGAUUCUUCAUGUCACCAAUAGGAGCUGCGACAAUAUAUUUUUUGAUGCAUUUAGUUGGCUUGCAGUUUAUGGUUAUAUAGUAGAAGAGAUAAGCAUAGAGAAAUGGUCGAUCACCCACACUAAUUUCUUGUCCUGAACAGUCUUCUUCAUCUGUUAGUAGCCAUUGUUUUGACAAUCAUAGUAUAAGAGGAUCACCCACAUCAACAGUCAUUGGACCUUCCAAGCAUCGCCAUUCAACUCUCGGGGAUCCCAAUUUUGUGGAGAAUUACUUCAAGCCUUGGGAAGAAAGUUUGCAGGAUGCACACGAGUUUGGAAAACUUGUUCUAUUUCAAAACUUGGAUCCAGCUUACUCUUCAGCAGAAAUGGAG
Gossypium raimondii (Peruvian cotton) is the source of this 383-nucleotide long non-coding RNA. RefSeq lists it as uncharacterized. The transcript has 3 exons. NCBI's taxonomy places the organism in Eukaryota, Viridiplantae, Streptophyta, Magnoliopsida, Malvales, Malvaceae. The record is from RefSeq and is a predicted model, not a curated record.